This 253-nucleotide ribosomal RNA is filed under the name uncultured bacterium. RNAcentral's name for it is "partial 16S ribosomal RNA". It matches the Rfam family "Bacterial small subunit ribosomal RNA", at positions 524 to 776 of the family's 1533-position model. The record is from RNAcentral.
UACGUAGGGUGCGAGCGUUAAUCGGAAUUACUGGGCGUAAAGCGUGCGCAGGCGGUUGUGUAAGACAGAUGUGAAAUCCCCGGGCUCAACCUGGGAACUGCAUUUGUGACUGCACGGCUGGAGUGCGGCAGAGGGGGAUGGAAUUCCGCGUGUAGCAGUGAAAUGCGUAGAUAUGCGGAGGAACACCGAUGGCGAAGGCAAUCCCCUGGGCCUGCACUGACGCUCAUGCACGAAAGCGUGGGGAGCAAACGGG